RNAcentral lists this ribosomal RNA (264 nucleotides) under uncultured bacterium. RNAcentral describes it as "partial 16S ribosomal RNA". The record is from RNAcentral.
CUGCUGCCUCCCGUAGGAGUCUGGUCCGUGUCUCAGUACCAGUGUGGGGGACCUUCCUCUCAGAACCCCUACGCAUCGUCGCCUCGGUGGGCCGUUACCCCGCCAACUAGCUAAUGCGCCGCAUGCCCAUCCGUCUCCGAUAUUCUUUCAAAACCAGACGAUGCCGUCCAGCUUCAUACGGGGUAUUAGACGCCGUUUCCGACGAUUAUCCCCCUGAGACGGGCAGGUUGCAUACGUGUUACUCACCCGUGCGCCGGUCGCCGG